This 1815-nucleotide long non-coding RNA is filed under the name Homo sapiens (human). Its description in RNAcentral is "HSALNT0147075". The record is from RNAcentral. Lineage: Eukaryota; Metazoa; Chordata; Mammalia; Primates; Hominidae.
AAGGAGAAUGAAGGAAAAAGGGAGGGAGAAAACCACCCUUAUACAUUUAGGACUCACAGGGCAGGAGUCCCAGACUGGGAGAAAGUCUGGACGUUUCAGCAGAGUUCAGUGUGCUGUGUCACUGUUUGUCUUGGCCUUUUUCGGCUGUGAGCAGCAGCAGCGUAAAUGAAUGUGCUUCAUUUCCUCAGCAACAAGACUGGGUCACACAUGUCCCCUCCCCUGGUGAGCAACCCAAGGAGUGAGUGGGGUGUCAUGGUGUUGCCAGGGACAGGCUGACAGUAGUACCAAAUUAGGAAAAGGACCGACUGAGGAUGCCUGGCCAAUCUGCAUCCCCAAUGCUCAGCCAGCAAAAUCAGUGGAAGUGUGUGUAAUUCUGCGGAGACUAGGAUGGCAUGUGCUCCGCCAGCAAUGCAGGAAAAAGGAUAAUCAAGCGGGACAUGGUUCUUGAAUAAGUGUAAAGCUAAACAUCAUCAAAAUGCUGCAACACAAUACGAGGGGCUGGAAGUGGUUAGUAUUGUGAUUACAGAGAGGGCAUCAGUAUAGGAUGUCAUUUCUCACAAAGAUCCAGGAAAAUGUCUAGCAUUCAUUUUUAUAAACAAAGCAUAGCACACUGGAGUUAUUUCUUAUUUCAAACGUAUAGUCAUACUACCUUUAUUUAGAACAUGGGCGAGGGGAUUGGAAUGGUAUAUAAAUCCAGGACAAGACUUGGUAUGUAAGUUCCUCCUCAAAAAAGCAAAACGCAAGGCCUAUUCUAAACAAAUCCAGGGCAAUUCAGCUCUGAAGCAUUGUUAAUCUUUUCAUUAAAGGUACAGUCACUAUGUUCCAAAUCCUUCUUCCAAAGAUCAGAUCCAGAUUUUCCAGCUAAUGAAACAAUGAAGUCAUUCCUUAAUGCCAAAAAACCCUUGAGAAUUUCCUGUGCCAUUGGGCACAUUCUGUGAGUAGAAGGAAUGUGGAAUUAGAGGGGGAAAUUGACUUCACUGAUGACCUCCAGAAGACCUGACUUGAGAUGCAAACUUCAGUGAGCCUGGAAGUGAGUCCAAGAAGGAAGUGGUGAGAAUGAACACACUGACCUCACUCUCCUUCCUCCUCAUAUCCUGCUGGUGCUCGUCAGCGGCCAAACCUAAUGGGAAACCUAGAUCAGUGAUACAGUCAUAUAGAUCAGCCUCCCAAGGCAUAGGCAGCAUGAGGAGGAUGGAAAGUGGAUCUGGGGGGCAAAUAAGUGCUGUCCAGCAUUGAUAAGCCUGGCUUCAAAUCUUGUUUCUUUCCGAUUAGCUGAUGACUUUUGGCAAGUGAUUUAAUUACUCUCAGCCUUUCCUCUGAGGAGACAGUCACUUAGAUACCAUUUCUGUUCCACAGCCUCCGUCUCCUUUCCAACUCCAAUAAAAGGGGAUUGUUAAUGUUAUGAUUUCUCAAAAGCAGGAAGACUUUAAAUGACAUUCACAUUUAUCCUACUUACCCAAAUGUUUUAACUCAAUAAUGUACAGUUUAAUGCUUAAUAAUUUCAUGUUUGUUAUUUAUUGUGACUACAAAAUUUUUAGCAGCUUUACCGAGAUACAACUUACAUGCAAUAAACUACACAUGCUUAAAGUAUAAAAUUUGUUGUUUUGAUAUAUGUAGACACCCGUAACACUAUCACCACAUCAAGAUAAUAAACAACACCUCAAAAGUUUCCUCAUGCCUCACUGUAAUCCCUUCCUCUUCCUUCCUCAUUCCUCUUCAUCAUCCAUUGAUAUGCCUUCUGUCACUAUGCACUGGUGUAUUAAUCAGGCUUCUCUAGAGGGACAGAACUAAUAGGACAUGGGAGUUUAUUAAGGU